GGCGAGUGAAGCGGCAACAGCUCAAAUUUGAAAUCUGGCGUCUUUGGCGUCCGAGUUGUAAUUUGCAGAGGGCGCUUUGGCAUUGGCAGCGGUCCAAGUUCCUUGGAACAGGACGUCACAGAGGGUGAGAAUCCCGUACGUGGUCGCUAGCCUUUACCGUGUAAAGCCCCUUCGACGAGUCGAGUUGUUUGGGAAUGCAGCUCUAAAUGGGAGGUAAAUUUCUUCUAAAGCUAAAUACUGGCCAGAGACCGAUAGCGCACAAGUAGAGUGAUCGAAAGAUGAAAAGCACUUUGGAAAGAGAGUUAAAAAGCACGUGAAAUUGUUGAAAGGGAAGCGCUUGCAGCCAGACUUGCCUGUAGUUGCUCAUCCGGGUUUUUACCCGGUGCACUCUUCUAUGGGCAGGCCAGCAUCAGUUUGGGCGGUUGGAUAAAGGUCUCUGUCACGUACCUCCUCUCGGGGAGAACUUAUAGGGGAGACGUAAUGCAACCAGCCUGGACUGAGGUCCGCGCAUCUGCUAGGAUGCUGGCGUAAUGGCUGUAAGCGGCCCGUCUUGAAACACGGACCAAGGAGUCUAACAUCUAUGCGAGUGUUUGGGUGUCAAGCCCGAGCGCGUAAUGAAAGUGAACGGAGGUGGGAACCUUUCGGGGUGCACCAUCGACCGAUCCUGAUGUCUUCGGAUGGAUUUGAGUAAGAGCAUAGCUGUUGGGACCCGAAAGAUGGUGAACUAUGCUUGAAUAGGGUGAAGCCAGAGGAAACUCUGGUGGAGGCUCGCAGCGGUUCUGACGUGCAAAUCGAUCGUCAAAUUUGGGCAUAGGGGCGAAAGACUAAUCGAACUAUCUAGUAGCUGGUUCCUGCCGAAGUUUCCCUCAGGAUAGCAGUAACGUUUUCAGUUUUAUGAGGUAAAGCGAAUGAUUAGAGGCCUGGGGGUUGAAACAACCUUCACCUAUUCUCAAACUUUAAAUAUGUAAGAAGUCCUUGUUACUUAAUUGAACGUGGACAGUUGAAUGUAUCGUUACUAGUGGGCCAUUUUUGGUAAGCAGAACUGGCGAUGCGGGAUGAACCGAACGCGGGGUUAAGGUGCCAGAAUAUACGCUCAUCAGACACCACAAAAGGUGUUAGUUCAUCUAGACAGCAGGACGGUGGCCAUGGAAGUCGGAAUCCGCUAAGGAGUGUGUAACAACUCACCUGCCGAAUGAACUAGCCCUGAAAAUGGAUGGCGCUCAAGCGUAUUACCCAUACCCCGCCGCUGGGGCAAGAUUUAAGCCCCAGCGAGUAGGCAGGCGUGGAGGUCCGUGACGAA
RNAcentral lists this ribosomal RNA (1300 nucleotides) under Boeremia strasseri. RNAcentral describes it as "LSU rRNA". It matches the Rfam family "Eukaryotic large subunit ribosomal RNA", at positions 88 to 1407 of the family's 3401-position model. Lineage: Eukaryota; Fungi; Ascomycota; Dothideomycetes; Pleosporales; Didymellaceae. The record is from RNAcentral.